AACAAGCGCUCGACCAUCACUUCCCGGGA
Molecule: non-coding RNA, 29 nt
Filed under: Cricetulus griseus (Chinese hamster)
Lineage: Eukaryota; Metazoa; Chordata; Mammalia; Rodentia; Cricetidae
Source: RNAcentral